GUACACACUAUUGAUUUGUGGAACUUUCCAUUUCUUUUAAGACUGUGGUUGACCAUGGGUACCUGAAACCAUGGAAAGGAAAACAGCUGUUGAGAGGACUACUUUACAAGGAACAACACAGAACCAAGCAAACGGGCUCCCCCAGGAUUGUUGUGGAACAUCUAUAGUUGAAUAUAAAAGUUUAUAUGUUCAAUUUUAUGGAGAAAAUAUCCUUUUUCAAAGGAAUUAAGAUUGAAAAUUACUGGGUUAUUUUUUACUGCCUAGGAUGGAAGCAAACAAAAAUAUGGAAAGAAAAUAUUUAACUCAUAGAAAUGCAGUCUAGAGGUUAGUUCAAACGACAGACUGUACCAAUAAGUGCAGAUGGGCAAGUAACAGAAUUCCUCUGGGAAAGAGGCAACAAUGUGUGACCUGCUGUCUACCCAGGUAACAAAGCUGCAUGUAACGUACGUUUAGGAAAUAUUUUGGCAUCAUACUACUUGAUCCUCAUGACAAUCUUGUGAAGUUACCAUUGGGUAACCCCCAGAGGAAGAAACUUGAAGUUUAAAAUGUCUUUUAUUUUCCCUAUAUGAAAAGAGAAAUAUUUAGAGUGGGCCUGAUGACUCAUCACAGCUGGAGGCCGACCGCAUUGUGACUUCUCACCUGGAUCUCUGUAGGGCAUCUCAGACUUCUUGCUUUC
RNAcentral lists this long non-coding RNA (676 nucleotides) under Homo sapiens (human). RNAcentral describes it as "HSALNT0233740". Lineage: Eukaryota; Metazoa; Chordata; Mammalia; Primates; Hominidae. The record is from RNAcentral.